UAUGUCUGUAAGUGGCGUACUGCUCAGUAACACGUAGCUAACCUACCCUUAGGACGUUUAUAACCCCGAGAAAUUGGGGCUAAUGAACGAUAGAUGUGAUGUCCUGGAAUGGUAUUACGUCUAAAUGUAUCUCAUACAUGUUUGGUAUACGCCUAAGGAUGGGGCUGCGGCCGAUCAGGCAGUUGGUGAGGUAAUGGCUCACCAAACCUUUGACCGGUACGGGCCAUGAGAGUGGUAGCCCGGAGAUGGACACUGAGACAAGGGUCCAGGCCCUACGGGGCGCAGCAGGCGCGAAACCUCCCCAAUGCACUAACGUGCGAAGGGGUUACCUCGAGUGCUAUCUGAAAAAGGUGGCUUUUCCUUGGUCUAAAACGCCUUGGGAAUAAGAGGGGGGCAAGACUGGUGUCAGCCGCCGCGGUAACACCAGCCCCUCGAGUGGUGGGGAUGAUUAUUUGGCCUAAAGCGUCCGUAGCCGGCCGGAUAAGUUUCCCGUUAAAUCCAACGUCUCAAGCGUUGGACUGCGGGAAAUACUGCCCGGCUAGAGAGUGGGAGAGGUCAGCGGUAUUCUGGGGGUAGGGGCGAAAUCCUUUUGAUCCCCGGAGGACCACCAGUGGCGAAGGCUGCUGACUAGAACACGUCUGACGGUCAGGGACGAAAGCUGGGGUAGCGAACCGGAUUAGAUACCCGGGUAGUCCCAGCCGUAAACGAUGCAUGCUAGGUGUUGGGUUGGCCACGAGCCACCCCAGUGCCGCAGGGAAGCCGUUAAGCAUGCCGCCUGGGAAGUACGAUCGCAAGAUUGAAACUUAAAGGAAUUGGCGGGGGAGCACCACCAGGCGUGAAGCCUGCGGUUUAAUUGGA
RNAcentral lists this ribosomal RNA (858 nucleotides) under uncultured archaeon. RNAcentral's name for it is "bacterial SSU rRNA". It matches the Rfam family "Archaeal small subunit ribosomal RNA", at positions 67 to 910 of the family's 1478-position model. The record is from RNAcentral.